AAUGAACGCUGGCGGCAGGCCUAACACAUGCAAGUCGAACGGAUCCUUCGGGAUUAGUGGCGGACGGGUGAGUAACGCGUGGGAACAUACCCAAAGGUACGGAAUAGCCUCGGGAAACUGGGAGUAAUACCGUAUGUGAUCGAAAGAGGAAAGAUUUAUCGCCUUUGGAUUGGCCCGCGUUGGAUGAGGUAGUUGGUGGGGUAAUGGCCUACCAAGCCGACGAUCCAUAGCUGGUUUGAGAGGAUGAUCAGCCACACUGGGACUGAGACACGGCCCAGACUCCUACGGGAGGCGGCAGUGGGGAAUCUUAGACAAUGGGGGAAACCCUGAUCUAGCCAUGCCGCGUGAUCGAUGAAGGCCUUAGGGUUGUAAAGAUCUUUCAGGUGGGAAGAUAAUGACUGUACCACCAGAAGAAGCCCCGGCUAACUCCGUGCCAGCCGCCGCGGUAA
Molecule: ribosomal RNA, 449 nt
Filed under: uncultured bacterium
Lineage: Bacteria
Description: partial 16S ribosomal RNA
Rfam family: Bacterial small subunit ribosomal RNA
Source: RNAcentral